UACGUAGGGUGCAAGCGUUAAUCGGAAUUAUUGGGCGUAAAGGGUGCGCAGGCGGUAUUGUAAGUCAGAUGUGAAAGCCCCGGGCUUAACCUGGGAAUUGCGUUUGAAACUGCAAUGCUAGAGUGUGGUAGAGGAGAGUGGAAUUCCAUGUGUAGCAGUGAAAUGCGUAGAGAUGUGGAAGAACACCAAUGGCGAAGGCAGCUCUCUGGAUUAACACUGACGCUCAUGCACGAAAGCGUGGGGAGCAAACAGG
Molecule: ribosomal RNA, 253 nt
Filed under: uncultured bacterium
Lineage: Bacteria
Description: partial 16S ribosomal RNA
Rfam family: Bacterial small subunit ribosomal RNA
Source: RNAcentral